This 493-nucleotide ribosomal RNA is filed under the name uncultured bacterium. Its description in RNAcentral is "bacterial SSU rRNA". It matches the Rfam family "Bacterial small subunit ribosomal RNA", at positions 28 to 514 of the family's 1533-position model. The record is from RNAcentral.
GAUUAACGCUAGCGGCAGGCCUAAUACAUGCAAGUCGAGGGGCAGCAGGGUGUAGCAAUACAUCGCUGGCGACCGGCGCACGGGUGCGUAACACGUAUGCAACCUACCUUUAACUGGGGAAUAGCCCUCCGAAAGGAGGAUUAACACCGCAUAACAUCACGAGACGGCAUCGCCUUGUGAUCAAACCUCCGGGGGUUAAAGAUGGGCAUGCGUCCGAUUAGCUAGUUGGCGGGGUAACGGCCCACCAAGGCGACGAUCGGUAGGGGGUCUGAGAGGAUGAUCCCCCACACUGGUACUGAGACACGGACCAGACUCCUACGGGAGGCAGCAGUAAGGAAUAUUGGACAAUGGUCGCAAGACUGAUCCAGCCAUGCCGCGUGCAGGAUGAACGAUCUAUGAUCUGUAAACUGCUUUUGUUCGGGAAUAAACCCCUUCACGUGUGGAGGGCUGAAUGUACCGAAAGAAUAAGGGUCGGCUAACUUCGUGCCAGCAG